GCACCUGUAGCUUAGCUGGAUAAAGCGCGAAGCUACGAACUUCGAGACCGGGGGUUCGAAUCCCUCCAGGUGCACCA
Molecule: transfer RNA, 77 nt
Filed under: Clostridia bacterium
Lineage: Bacteria; Bacillati; Bacillota; Clostridia
Description: tRNA-Arg
Rfam family: tRNA
About the family: Transfer RNA (tRNA) molecules are approximately 80 nucleotides in length.
Source: RNAcentral